RNAcentral lists this ribosomal RNA (299 nucleotides) under Salmonella enterica subsp. enterica serovar Oranienburg. RNAcentral describes it as "partial 16S ribosomal RNA". It matches the Rfam family "Bacterial small subunit ribosomal RNA", at positions 1217 to 1515 of the family's 1533-position model. Lineage: Bacteria; Pseudomonadati; Pseudomonadota; Gammaproteobacteria; Enterobacterales; Enterobacteriaceae. The record is from RNAcentral. RNAcentral also lists the same sequence under 2 other names.
CACACGUGCUACAAUGGCGCAUACAAAGAGAAGCGACCUCGCGAGAGCAAGCGGACCUCAUAAAGUGCGUCGUAGUCCGGAUUGGAGUCUGCAACUCGACUCCAUGAAGUCGGAAUCGCUAGUAAUCGUGGAUCAGAAUGCCACGGUGAAUACGUUCCCGGGCCUUGUACACACCGCCCGUCACACCAUGGGAGUGGGUUGCAAAAGAAGUAGGUAGCUUAACCUUCGGGAGGGCGCUUACCACUUUGUGAUUCAUGACUGGGGUGAAGUCGUAACAAGGUAACCGUAGGGGAACCUGC